Non-coding RNA from Eublepharis macularius, 424 nucleotides. NCBI's taxonomy places the organism in Eukaryota, Metazoa, Chordata, Lepidosauria, Squamata, Eublepharidae. The record is from the annotation of a RefSeq genome assembly.
GCUUCAUUUCAUGUUGCUUCAGAAAAUAAGCAUCGCAAGGAUGCUCUUCUUGACUUCUGGAAUAUAUCACGGCUGGUCCGUUUUGGGAACGUUCCUUCUGUUCCUCAAAUCAGGAGUCUCUCAAAGUGAUUCUGUCUUCCAAUCGCCAAAUCAAAUGGAAACCCAAGAGGGGCAGCCCGUAAUUUUGCGCUGCAAUUUCUCCACUUCCAGUUCAGCUCCUUACCUUUUCUGGUAUCGUCAAUAUGCGGACAGAGAACCUGAGCUGAUCCUUCAGGCUUACAAAAGUAAAGAGCAGAAGAACAGAGUUUGUAAAGCGUUCUCACACUGUGCAAAGACAGGCACUUAUGAGAAGAUGGCAUUUGGCUGGGGGACCAGGUUAACAGUGCAACCGGGUAUGUUGAGAAAUUUCAGAUUCCAGAAAUAA